This 453-nucleotide ribosomal RNA is filed under the name Mycobacterium sp. C2PML430. RNAcentral's name for it is "bacterial SSU rRNA". It matches the Rfam family "Bacterial small subunit ribosomal RNA", at positions 23 to 493 of the family's 1533-position model. Lineage: Bacteria; Bacillati; Actinomycetota; Actinomycetes; Mycobacteriales; Mycobacteriaceae. The record is from RNAcentral.
CUCAGGACGAACGCUGGCGGCGUGCUUAACACAUGCAAGUCGAACGGAAAGGCCCUUCGGGGUACUCGAGUGGCGAACGGGUGAGUAACACGUGGGUGAUCUGCCCUGCACUUUGGGAUAAGCCUGGGAAACUGGGUCUAAUACCGAAUAUGAUCAUGCUCUUCAUGGGGUGUGGUGGAAAGCUUUUGCGGUGUGGGAUGGGCCCGCGGCCUAUCAGCUUGUUGGUGGGGUAAUGGCCUACCAAGGCGACGACGGGUAGCCGGCCUGAGAGGGUGACCGGCCACACUGGGACUGAGAUACGGCCCAGACUCCUACGGGAGGCAGCAGUGGGGAAUAUUGCACAAUGGGCGCAAGCCUGAUGCAGCGACGCCGCGUGAGGGAUGACGGCCUUCGGGUUGUAAACCUCUUUCAAUAGGGACGAAGCGCAAGUGACGGUACCUAUAGAAGAAGCAC